AGAGUUUGAUCCUGGCUCAGGAUGAACGCUGGCGGCGUGCUUAACACAUGCAAGUCGAACGAACCUUCGGGUUAGUGGCGGACGGGUGAGUAACGCGUGAGAAUCUGCCCUCAGGAGGGGGAUAACAGCUGGAAACGGCUGCUAAUACCCCAUAUGCCGCGAGGUGAAAUGAAUUUCGCCUGAGGAUGAGCUCGCGUCUGAUUAGCUAGUUGGUGUGGGUAAUGGCUCACCAAGGCAUCGAUCAGUAGCUGGUCUGAGAGGAUGAUCAGCCACACUGGGACUGAGACACGGCCCAGACUCCUACGGGAGGCAGCAGUGGGGAAUUUUCCGCAAUGGGCGAAAGCCUGACGGAGCAACGCCGCGUGAGGGAUGAAGGCCUCUGGGCUGUAAACCUCUUUUAUCAAGGAAGAAGAUCUGACGGUACUUGAUGAAUAAGCCACGGCUAAUUCCGUGCCAGCAGCCGCGGUAAUACGGGAGUGGCAAGCGUUAUCCGGAAUUAUUGGGCGUAAAGCGUCCGCAGGCGGCCCUUCAAGUCUGCUGUUAAAAAGUGGAGCUUAACUCCAUCAUGGCAGUGGAAACUGAGGGGCUUGAGUGUGGUAGGGGCAGAGGGAAUUCCCGGUGUAGCGGUGAAAUGCGUAGAUAUCGGGAAGAACACCAGUGGCGAAGGCGCUCUGCUGGGCCAUCACUGACGCUCAUGGACGAAAGCCAGGGGAGCGAAAGGGAUUAGAUACCCCUGUAGUCCUGGCCGUAAACGAUGAACACUAGGUGUCGGGGGAAUCGACCCCCUCGGUGUCGUAGCCAACGCGUUAAGUGUUCCGCCUGGGGAGUACGCACGCAAGUGUGAAACUCAAAGGAAUUGACGGGGGCCCGCACAAGCGGUGGAGUAUGUGGUUUAAUUCGAUGCAACGCGAAGAACCUUACCAGGGUUUGACAUCCUGCGAAUCUCUUGGAAACGAGAGAGUGCCUUCGGGAGCGCAGUGACAGGUGGUGCAUGGCUGUCGUCAGCUCGUGUCGUGAGAUGUUGGGUUAAGUCCCGCAACGAGCGCAACCCACGUCUUUAGUUGCCAGCAUUUAGUUGGGCACUCUAGAGAGACCGCCGGUGAUAAACCGGAGGAAGGUGUGGAUGACGUCAAGUCAUCAUGCCCCUUACAUCCUGGGCUACACACGUACUACAAUGCUACGGACAAAGGGCAGCAAGUUCGCGAGGACAAGCAAAUCCCAUAAACCGUGGCUCAGUUCAGAUCGUAGGCUGCAACUCGCCUACGUGAAGGAGGAAUCGCUAGUAAUCGCAGGUCAGCAUACUGCGGUGAAUACGUUCCCGGGCCUUGUACACACCGCCCGUCACACCAUGGAAGUUGGCCACGCCCGAAGCCGUUACUCCAACCCUUGUGGAGGAGGACGUCGAAGGUGGGGCUGAUGACUGGGGUGAAGUCGUAACAAGGUAACC
This 1447-nucleotide ribosomal RNA is filed under the name uncultured cyanobacterium. Its description in RNAcentral is "bacterial SSU rRNA". It matches the Rfam family "Bacterial small subunit ribosomal RNA". Lineage: Bacteria; Bacillati; Cyanobacteriota. RNAcentral also lists the same sequence under 1 other name. The record is from RNAcentral.